AAAGGAAGCGUCAUGAAGAAACAACAUAGGUGUUAAACACACUGAUAAAAGUUUCUUCAUCACGCGUUUUAAAGUGCCAACACAAAGAGGGAAGGAUAAGUAGAGUAUUGAGUGCCGAAGAAAUCGUUAGCGGCGGACGGGUGAGUAACACGUGGGCAACCUGCCUUGAAGUGGGGGAUAACACCGGGAAAUCGGUGCUAAUACCGCAUAACAUACACAAACUGCAUGGUAAGUGUAUCAAAGGAGCAAUCCGUCUUUAAGAGUGGGCCCGCGGCUGAUUAGCUAGUUGGUAAGGUAACGGCUUACCAAGGCGACGAUCAGUAGCCGACCUGAGGAGGGUGACCGGCCACACUGGAACUGAGACACGGUCCAGACUCCGUACGGGAGGCAGCAGGUGGGGAAUAUUGCGCAAUGGGGGGAACCCUGACGCAGCAACGCCGCGUGGAGGAAGAAGGUCUUCGGAUUGUAAACUCCUGUCUUCUGGGACGAAUAAUGACGGUACCAGAGGAGGAAGCCACGGCUAACUACGUG
This 531-nucleotide ribosomal RNA is filed under the name uncultured bacterium. RNAcentral describes it as "bacterial SSU rRNA". It matches the Rfam family "Bacterial small subunit ribosomal RNA", at positions 71 to 507 of the family's 1533-position model. The record is from RNAcentral.